This 253-nucleotide ribosomal RNA is filed under the name uncultured bacterium. RNAcentral's name for it is "partial 16S ribosomal RNA". It matches the Rfam family "Bacterial small subunit ribosomal RNA", at positions 524 to 776 of the family's 1533-position model. The record is from RNAcentral.
UACGUAGGGGGCAAGCGUUGUCCGGACUUAUUGGGCGUAAAGAGCGUGUAGGCGGCUUUACAGGUCCGUUGUGAAAACUCGAGGCUCAACCUCGAGACGCCGGUGGAAACCGUAAGGCUAGAGUCCGGAAGAGGAGAGUGGAAUUCCUGGUGUAGCGGUGAAAUGCGCAGAUAUCAGGAAGAACACCCGUGGCGAAGGCGGCUCUCUGGGACGGUACUGACGCUGAGACGCGAAAGCGUGGGGAGCAAACAGG